GAUGAACGCUGGCGGCGUGCUUAACACAUGCAAGUCGAACGGAAAGGCCCAAGCUUGCUUGGGUACUCGAGUGGCGAACGGGUGAGUAACACGUGGGUGAUCUGCCCUGCACUUCGGGAUAAGCCUGGGAAACUGGGUCUAAUACCGGAUAGGACGAUGGUUUGGAUGCCAUUGUGGAAAGUUUUUUCGGUGUGGGAUGAGCUCGCGGCCUAUCAGCUUGUUGGUGGGGUAAUGGCCUACCAAGGCGUCGACGGGUAGCCGGCCUGAGAGGGUGUAAGGCCACAUUGGAACUGAGAUACGGCCCAGACUCCGACGGGAGGCAGCAGUGGGGAAUAUUGCACAAUGGGCGCAAGCCUGAUGCAGCGACGCCGCGUGGGGGAUGACAGCAUUCGGGUUGUAAACUCCUUUCGCUAGGGACGAAGCGUUUUUGUGACGGUACCUGGAGAAGAAGCACCGGCUAACUACGUG
This 468-nucleotide ribosomal RNA is filed under the name uncultured bacterium. Its description in RNAcentral is "partial 16S ribosomal RNA". It matches the Rfam family "Bacterial small subunit ribosomal RNA", at positions 28 to 507 of the family's 1533-position model. The record is from RNAcentral.